RNAcentral lists this ribosomal RNA (484 nucleotides) under uncultured bacterium. RNAcentral describes it as "partial 16S ribosomal RNA". It matches the Rfam family "Bacterial small subunit ribosomal RNA", at positions 30 to 507 of the family's 1533-position model. The record is from RNAcentral.
AUUGAAUGCUGGCGGCAGGCCUAACACAUGCAAGUCGAGCGGAUGAAGGGAGCUUGCUCCUGGAUUCAGCGGCGGACGGGUGAGUAAUGCCUAGGAAUCUGCCUGGUAGUGGGGGAUAACGUCCGGAAACGGGCGCUAAUACCGCAUACGUCCUGAGGGAGAAAGUGGGGGAUCUUCGGACCUCACGCUAUCAGAUGAGCCUAGGUCGGAUUAGCUAGUUGGUGGGGUAAGGGCCUACCAAGGCGACGAUCCGUAACUGGUCUGAGAGGAUGAUCAGUCACACUGGAACUGAGACACGGUCCAGACUCCUACGGGAGGCAGCAGUGGGGAAUAUUGGACAAUGGGCGAAAGCCUGAUCCAGCCAUGCCGCGUGUGUGAAGAAGGUCUUCGGAUUGUAAAGCACUUUAAGUUGGGAGGAAGGGCAGUAAGUUAAUACCUUGCUGUUUUGACGUUACCAACAGAAUAAGCACCGGCUAACUUCGUG